GACGAACGCUGGCGGCGUGCUUAACACAUGCAAGUCGAACGAAGUGGCGAACGUGUGAGUAACGCGUAAUCAACCUGCCCUUCAGAGGGGGACAACAGUUGGAAACGACUGCUAAUACCGCAUACUGAAGGAGGGGAUUGCGUCUGAUUCGCUCGUUGGUGAGGUAACGGCCCACCAAGGCGAAGAUCAGUAGCCGGUCUGAGAGGAGGAACGGCCACAUUGGGACUGAGACACGGCCCAGACUCCUACGGGAGGCAGCAGUGGGGAAUCUUCCGCAAUGGACGAAAGUCUGACGGAGCAACGCCGCGUGAGUGAUGAAGGCCUUCGGGUUGUAAAGCUCUGUUAAUCGGGACGCGGUACCGGAAUAGAAAGCCACGGUUAACUACGUGCCAGCAGCCGCGGUAAUA
Molecule: ribosomal RNA, 407 nt
Filed under: uncultured bacterium
Lineage: Bacteria
Description: partial 16S ribosomal RNA
Rfam family: Bacterial small subunit ribosomal RNA
Source: RNAcentral